RNAcentral lists this ribosomal RNA (486 nucleotides) under uncultured bacterium. RNAcentral's name for it is "partial 16S ribosomal RNA". It matches the Rfam family "Bacterial small subunit ribosomal RNA", at positions 28 to 507 of the family's 1533-position model. The record is from RNAcentral.
GAUGAACGCUAGCGGCAGGCUUAACACAUGCAAGUCGAGGGGCAGCGCGGGAUAGCAAUAUCCUGGCGGCGACCGGCGGAAGGGUGCGUAACGCGUGAGCGACAUGCCCGUUGCCCGGGGACAACCGGUGGAAACGCCGACUAAUCCCCGAUGGGAUACGAUGCUUCAUGGCAUUGUAUUGAAAGUUACGGCGGCGACGGAUUGGCUCGCGUCCGAUUAGCUGGUUGGCGGGGUAACGGCCCACCAAGGCUGCGAUCGGUAGGGGUUCUGAGAGGAAGGCCCCCCACUAUGGGACUGAGACACGGCCCAUGCUCCUACGGGAGGCAGCAGUGAGGAAUAUUGGUCAAUGGGCGGAAGCCUGAACCAGCCAUGCCGCGUGCGGGAAGGAGGCCCUAUGGGCUGUGAACCGCUUUUGCCUGGGGGCAAUAAGGGCGUCGCGCACGUCCGAUGAGAGUACCAGGCGAAUAAGCAUCGGCUAACUCCGUG